AGCCUGAUCCAGCCAUGCCGCGUGUGUGAAGAAGGUCUUCGGAUUGUAAAGCACUUUAAGUUGGGAGGAAGGGCAGUAAGUUAAUACCUUGCUGUUUUGACGUUACCGACAGAAUAAGCACCGGCUAACUUYGUGCCAGCAGCCGCGGUAAUACGAAGGGUGCAAGCGUUAAUCGGAAUUACUGGGCGUAAAGCGCGCGUAGGUGGUUUGUUAAGUUGGAUGUGAAAGCCCCGGGCUCAACCUGGGAACUGCAUCCAAAACUGGCGAGCUAGAGUAUGGYAGAGGGUGGUGGAAUUUCCUGUGUAGCGGUGAAAUGCGUAGAUAUAGGAAGGAACACCAGUGGCGAAGGCGACCACCUGGVCUAAUACUGACACUGAGGUGCGAAAGCGUGGGGAGCAAACAGGAUUUUUACACCCUGGUAGUCCACGCCGUAAACGAUGUCNACUAGCCGUUGGNAUCCUUGAGAUNUUAGUGGCGCAGCUAACGCAUUAAGUCGACCGCCUG
This 504-nucleotide ribosomal RNA is filed under the name Stutzerimonas stutzeri. Its description in RNAcentral is "bacterial SSU rRNA". It matches the Rfam family "Bacterial small subunit ribosomal RNA", at positions 380 to 875 of the family's 1533-position model. The record is from RNAcentral. Lineage: Bacteria; Pseudomonadati; Pseudomonadota; Gammaproteobacteria; Pseudomonadales; Pseudomonadaceae.